This 477-nucleotide ribosomal RNA is filed under the name Dichaetophora sp. TW6 (Gao). Its description in RNAcentral is "partial 28S ribosomal RNA". It matches the Rfam family "Eukaryotic large subunit ribosomal RNA", at positions 1508 to 1897 of the family's 3401-position model. Lineage: Eukaryota; Metazoa; Arthropoda; Insecta; Diptera; Drosophilidae. The record is from RNAcentral.
UUCGUGUGAACAGUGGUUGAUCACGAGUUAGUCGGUCCUAAGUUCAAGGCGAAAGCCGAAAAUUUUCAAGUUAAUAAUAAAAAAUAAGUAACAAUGUAUUAAUUUAUGUAAUUUUAUGUAUUAUGCACUUGAAUAAUUUUGAACGAAAGGGAAUACGGUUCCAAUUCCGUAACCUGUUGAGUAUCCGUUUGUUAUUAAAUAUGGGCCUCGUGCUCAUCCUGGCAACAGGAACGACCAUAAAGAAGCCGUCGAGAGAUAUCGGAAGAGUUUUCUUUUCUGUUUUAUAGCCGUACUACCAUGGAAGUCUUUCGCAGAGAGAUAUGGUAGAUGGGCUAGAAGAGCAUGACAUAUACUGUUGUGUCGAUAUUUUCUCCUCGGACCUUGAAAAUUUAUGGUGGGGUUACGCAAACUUCUCAACAGGCCGUACCAAUAUCCGCAGCUGGUCUCCAAGGUGAAGAGUCUCUAGUCGAUAGAAUA